GACAGAGGGUGCAAACGUUGCUCGGAAUCAUUGGGCGUAAAGGGUGCGUAGGCGGCGCGGUAAGUCGGGUGUGAAAUCUCGGAGCUUAACUCCGAAACUGCAUUCGAUACUGCCGUGCUUGAGGACUGGACAGGAGACUGGAAUUUACGGUGUAGCGGUGAAAUGCGUAGAUAUCGUAAGGAAGACCAGUGGCGAAGGCGGGUCUCUGGACAACAACUGACACUGAGGCACGAAAGCGUGGGGAGCAAACAGG
This 253-nucleotide ribosomal RNA is filed under the name uncultured bacterium. Its description in RNAcentral is "partial 16S ribosomal RNA". It matches the Rfam family "Bacterial small subunit ribosomal RNA", at positions 524 to 776 of the family's 1533-position model. The record is from RNAcentral.